Molecule: ribosomal RNA, 1247 nt
Filed under: Metschnikowia sp. 04-226.1
Lineage: Eukaryota; Fungi; Ascomycota; Pichiomycetes; Serinales; Metschnikowiaceae
Description: small subunit ribosomal RNA
Rfam family: Bacterial small subunit ribosomal RNA
Source: RNAcentral
AAUUUAGAGAACAUGAUGUUGGUUCAGAUCUAAUGCUAUGUAGAGACAUAACACAUGCAAGUUAAAAAUAUUUAGCGUUAAGGUGAGUUUUAUAAGAUAAAAAAAAAUCUUAUACAGAUGUAGGUAAUAGAUAAAUAAAUCUAGCCAUGGAACUGGAGCCGACGAUAAGCGUCACAACGGCCACAUUGAUAAAAAAUCAACUCUUAUAAAGAGCAGCAGUGGGGAAUCUUUGACAAUGGUCUAACGACUGAUCAAGUUAUCUACGAGAAAAAUAUUAAAUAUAUAAAACUAAUAAAAGAUUAACUAUAAAUUUCUAAAUAAUAGUAAUAAUGAUACUAAUUAUGAAAGAGUCCUAACUAAAAUAUGUGCCAGCAGCUGCGGUUAGACAUAGAGGGCAAGCAUUGAUCAGAAUGGCUUAAAGGAUCUGUAGAACGUAUUUUUAAAUAUAUAAAAAUAUAGAAUAAUAAAAGGUAAUAAGAAUUAAAGUUAGAGGGAUAAAAUACUAAGAAAACAUUAAGACUAUAAAGAGAUUACUUAAAUUUAUUGACGUUGUGAGAUGAAGGCUACGGUAGCGACAUGGAUUCGAUACCCAUUUAGUCGUAGCAGUAAACUAUGAAUACAAUAAAAGAAAAAUUAAAAUGAAUAGUAUUCCGCCUGACUAGUACGCUCGCAAGGGUGAAAUACAAGACAUUAGACGGUUGUAGUCCCAAGCAGUGGAACAUGUCAUUUAAUUGGAUGAUCCUCCAAGAACCUUACCAUCUCUUGAAUUAUUAACAGGCGUUACAUCGUUGUCGUCAGUUCAUGCCGUGAGGUUUAAUAUUAAGUUAUUGAAUGAACGUAACCCUUUUCUUUUAGAUAAGUAUAUUUGUAAAAAUAUAGGAAGUAGAGGUUGAAGACUAAUCAUGAUGACCCUUAUGAGAUGGGCUAUCGACGUGUUACAAUAUUAAUAACAAUUAUAUUAAUUAAAAAAAAAUUAAGUAAUUAUAUAUUAUAAAAUAUAUAUAUUAAAUAUUAAGAAAAAGACAUAGUUUCAUUUAUGGAUUGUAAUCUGAAAUUCGGUUACAUAAAGGAGGAAUUGCUAGUAAUCGUAAACAAUAGAGUUACGGUGAAAUUUUUUGCUACUUCGUACUAACCACUCAUCAACAGCAAGAAAUUUAUUUUUUACUUAUUGAGUUCUUAUUUAAAGGACUUGCUGUAAGUUGAAAUACGGUUCGGUUAGGGGAACCUGAUCGGGAUUUAUUUAUUUA